CAGUAGCCGCGGUAAUACGUAGGGUGCGAGCGUUAAUCGGAAUUACUGGGCGUAAAGCGUGCGCAGGCGGUUUGUUAAGACAGAUGUGAAAUCCCCGGGCUUAACCUGGGAACUGCAUUUGUGACUGGCCGGCUAGAGUAUGGCAGAGGGAGGUGGAAUUCCACGUGUAGCAGUGAAAUGCGUAGAUAUGUGGAGGAACACCGAUGGCGAAGGCAGCCUCCUGGGCCAAUACUGACGCUCAUGCACGAAAGCGUGGGGAGCAAACAGGAUUAGAUACCCCGGUAGUCCCUGUCUCUUAUAC
RNAcentral lists this ribosomal RNA (301 nucleotides) under uncultured bacterium. RNAcentral's name for it is "partial 16S ribosomal RNA". It matches the Rfam family "Bacterial small subunit ribosomal RNA", at positions 509 to 807 of the family's 1533-position model. The record is from RNAcentral.